Molecule: non-coding RNA, 148 nt
Filed under: Homo sapiens (human)
Lineage: Eukaryota; Metazoa; Chordata; Mammalia; Primates; Hominidae
Source: Rfam by way of RNAcentral
GCCAGGUGUGGUGGCGCACGCCUGUAAUCCCAGCUACUCAGGAGGCUGAGGCAGGAGAAUCGCUUGAAGCUGGGAGGCGGAGGUUGCAGUGAGCCGAGAUCGCGCCACUGCACUCUAGCCUGGGUGACAGGGCGAGACUCUGUCUCAA